This 981-nucleotide long non-coding RNA is filed under the name Homo sapiens (human). Its description in RNAcentral is "HSALNT0388048". Lineage: Eukaryota; Metazoa; Chordata; Mammalia; Primates; Hominidae. The record is from RNAcentral.
CUGUUCCCCGCAUGCCCUCAUGGAGUCUCAGGAGAUGAGAUGAAGCUGCUCCCUUUUCUCCUGGGGUACCGGUGGGCCUCUGGGCGGGGGGGGUCACACCUGGGUCACAAGACUGGCUCAGUCCCCUUAAAAAGAGUGGCAGGCGGAGGAGGGCUUCGGAGUCCACAGGCACCCUUCUACGGGUGUCUGCAUUUCCGGCCCUUUCUGAGUGGCGCUGUGUGUGUGUGUGUGUUUAGCAUCUGCCCUCCCAACUUUUCCAGAUUUUACCCGUCAGAUUCCUGGCAGCUGUGCACGGCGCCUGUGCCGGCCGUCACGUCCCAUUCCGAUCUCUGGGUCGCACGGUAAGAGGAGGACACAGGAUGCGCAGGGAGUGAAAAAGUGAUGUCGGUGGGGAGAGUGCCAAGUCCCCACUCGCAGCCAUGGGACACUUGGGGAGCAGGGGAAGCAUGCCGCUGCAGAGUUCAGAGGCCGGUAGUGAGGUUUAUUUUUGUUUGUAUGAGUAAAAAGCUGCAGAAGCCUCUGGUGGGGGUGAGGGGGGUGCAACCGGAAUGCUGUGGUUCAGACAGACUGGCCCUGGCAUGGAGUCAAGCGUGCUGACCCGGAAGGAGAGUUCCACAGGAACCUUCUAACAGCAGCUGAGGUUGGGCCACAGUGAUCCCUGGAUAGUGCCCUUGGAACCCAAGCAACACACGGACACUCUGAAUCAGGUAUGGGAGUUUCCUGGAGCAAGCUGGCAGAGAACUGGGAAAGAGAUCAUAUACAAUAAUACCUAAGGAGGAAGCUAACAGGCUUGGGUCUCCAGGAAAAACUUUUGCAGGUUAAGUUCCUUCUCUACGGUGGAGAUGAUCUUAUGAUGCUUACCGCUGCAAGCUGAGACACUGAACAUUACAAGUAACAGCAAUUCAAUGAGCUGACACAGGAGGUGUGGCACUUGGAGAACCUGGAUCAUGAAGCAGAGCAAGACCAGGAGAGGGCCUUCUG